This is a long non-coding RNA of Neopsephotus bourkii (Bourke's parrot), 2220 nucleotides long. RefSeq lists it as uncharacterized. The transcript is spliced from 2 exons. Lineage: Eukaryota; Metazoa; Chordata; Aves; Psittaciformes; Psittacidae. The record is from RefSeq and is a predicted model, not a curated record.
AUUGCAUUACAGAAAAAUGGUGGAUUUGGUUCACCAGGGCCAUGCACCAGGGAAAAACAUCCAUCCAGGAAAAGAUGUAUUCAAGUGCUGCAACAGGAGCAGGGACAAAGAACUAUGACACAUACCAGUCAGGCUGCCAGAUUCAAAAAGCAUGCUUUAGGUUUCAGGAGGCAGAGGUGAACUAGCAUUUUAUGAAGUCUGGGGACUAAGGAUUUUUUCUGCUUAAGUUUAAAUUUUUCUCUUUUGAUAAUGACAGUUCUGAAGACAUUUGUGUCCUUGUCAAAGUUGCAGAAUGGAAGAGGAUGAAAUCACAUUGCCAGUAUUUGGUUGAAAAUGUCUAGACUUCUGUGUCCUGGUCUCUGUAAUCAUGACAUCGACAUGAAUUGGGCUAUUGAAAAGAUUCAGUCUUCAGUGAGGAAUGAAAGGAAACAGCCCUGCAGCUAGUCCUCCCCCAGGAGAGCAUUUGGGCCCAAUUCCACCACUCACAUAGGGCAAGGACUGUCUCCAGGAAGACAAUCAUUUUUGGUCACAGGGGUUUAGCUGGCUGCAUGUGAAUUGAUCCAUACCCCUUUGCCUCUGGGACUGUAAAAUGCAGACUGUCCAAUUUUAUUUACUGUUAUAAGCACUGAUUAUUUUCUCUUUUCCAGGAAUUCAUAGACUUGAUUUACUUUACUCUCAUUCCUGUAUCUGUUUUGAAACUCUCUAGCAUGCACAAGGGACACAACAUUCCAAAGGGUCAAUGUUCAGGGCCAGAAAAAUGUUCCUCUUUUGAAGUGUAAAUGAAACUUGGCAGUAGGGUUUCAAUCAUUUGGGAUGUCUAAAUGGGGAUGGGAAAUUUAAGAAAGAGAUAUUUUUUUUGGUAUUGGCUGAAACCUCUAUCAAAACUCUGUAUGUUCCUUCAAGAUCUCUUAAGUUAAACCUGAAUAGUACAACACCUGGUGGUACCAAAUGAUUCAUGAUAAUCAUCUUAUAUCCUUGGUUUAAUUUGCAAGGCAAUAAUUUCUUACUAAGUGCAUCUGAAAUCCCAGGUUACUUUGUUACCAUCUGUGCAUACAUGGUUGUUUUGUCUGUGAAAUUCCUCUGUGAGUUACCGUGUCAACAUUCGCUGUACAACACUUCUAUUUACUGUGUAGCAGGGUGAGAACAGCAGUGGGUUUUCCUGUAAAUGCGAAAUUUUUCUUGGCUGACACAAUGUGCAGAGCCCUGCCAAGAAAAAGCUGGGUACUGGCUGCGUUCCUUACUGGUUCGAUGGACGUGCUUGGGGGUGUGUGCAGGUAUGUGUCUGUGAACAUGUGCAAAACCACACAUUUACUGGAGGGGCUGAAAAUGCUUUAGCACUGGCCAACACCACCACAUGCUCCCAUCACUGAUACUGCCAUGUAUGUUGCAGUCCCCAUUUAGGCUGCAGCUAGCUCACAUAUAUGACCAUGCACAACAGAGAUUUCACCAAAGGCUUAAUCAUUUGUGCCCCCAGAGGUACAAGCUCAGUGUCAGGACUUCUGCUUACAUUUUAACCUUAUGAUACAUGUCUUCUCUUUUUAAAAUCAACAAGACUUGCAAAUACUGAGAAGCCUCUUGAGUGCAGCAGCAAAACAACACAAGCAGUCAGUCCUUGCUGGAUGCAUUUGUGGCUGGCACUGCUGGACCUGGCUCUGUAUUUGUACCACUUCUCAGACUGAAAGCUGGCUGGAGUUUCAAAGCACAGCCCUGUGCUCAAGUUAAUCCAUUCUGAUCUCCCCACAGGCUUAUUAGCUUAGCCACUGUAUUAUCCUAGUGCAGCUACAUGGCCCCCAGAUCAGGAUAUCAGUGUCCAGACAGUUUAAAGAGUAGAUAAGCAUAGCCUAAAGGCCAUCUUUGGGACUUAUGGGGAUUUGGCCUUCUUGGAAAGGCAUCUUAUUGGUGAACUUCCAUAAAAUCAGAUAAAGGAAAAGCAGAGAGGAGAAAAAAGAAUAAAACUCCAAUUAUUCUGUAGUUGCCCCCCAGAUUUUCCCACUGACUGUCACAACACCUAUUCCUCUUACUUCAGCCAGUGUUCCAAGGAUUAGAAGCAAUCUAAUUGCAUCUUGGUGUCAGCUUACUGAAGAAAGACAAUAUUGAGUAAUUGUGUACUGAGAACAGUGGUAUGCACUGAAACAAAGAUGGCAAUCCUGUUUUCAGGGAGAUAGCAGCAUGUACAUGUCCCAGGAGAUGAUCCAAAUAAAUCCAUUCUCACUCAAGAAA